RNAcentral lists this ribosomal RNA (1253 nucleotides) under Micrococcus sp. LLL-10. Its description in RNAcentral is "bacterial SSU rRNA". It matches the Rfam family "Bacterial small subunit ribosomal RNA", at positions 86 to 1351 of the family's 1533-position model. Lineage: Bacteria; Bacillati; Actinomycetota; Actinomycetes; Micrococcales; Micrococcaceae. The record is from RNAcentral.
GGUGGAUUAGUGGCGAACGGGUGAGUAACACGUGAGUAACCUGCCCUUGACUCUGGGAUAAGCCCGGGAAACUGGGUCUAAUACCGGAUAGGAACGUCCACCGCAUGGUGGUUGUUGGAAAGAUUUAUCGGUCAUGGAUGGACUCGCGGCCUAUCAGCUUGUUGGUGAGGUAAUGGCUCACCAAGGCGACGACGGGUAGCCGGCCUGAGAGGGUGACCGGCCACACUGGGACUGAGACACGGCCCAGACUCCUACGGGAGGCAGCAGUGGGGAAUAUUGCACAAUGGGCGAAAGCCUGAUGCAGCGACGCCGCGUGAGGGAUGACGGCCUUCGGGUUGUAAACCUCUUUCAGUAGGGAAGAAGCGAAAGUGACGGUACCUGCAGAAGAAGCACCGGCUAACUACGUGCCAGCAGCCGCGGUAAUACGUAGGGUGCGAGCGUUAUCCGGAAUUAUUGGGCGUAAAGAGCUCGUAGGCGGUUUGUCGCGUCUGUCGUGAAAGUCCGGGGCUUAACCCCGGAUCUGCGGUGGGUACGGGCAGACUAGAGUGCAGUAGGGGAGACUGGAAUUCCUGGUGUAGCGGUGGAAUGCGCAGAUAUCAGGAGGAACACCGAUGGCGAAGGCAGGUCUCUGGGCUGUAACUGACGCUGAGGAGCGAAAGCAUGGGGAGCGAACAGGAUUAGAUACCCUGGUAGUCCAUGCCGUAAACGUUGGGCACUAGGUGUGGGGACCAUUCCACGGUUUCCGCGCCGCAGCUAACGCAUUAAGUGCCCCGCCUGGGGAGUACGGCCGCAAGGCUAAAACUCAAAGGAAUUGACGGGGGCCCGCACAAGCGGCGGAGCAUGCGGAUUAAUUCGAUGCAACGCGAAGAACCUUACCAAGGCUUGACAUGUUCUCGAUCGCCGUAGAGAUACGGUUUCCCCUUUGGGGCGGGAUCACAGGUGGUGCAUGGUUGUCGUCAGCUCGUGUCGUGAGAUGUUGGGUUAAGUCCCGCAACGAGCGCAACCCUCGUUCCAUGUUGCCAGCACGUAAUGGUGGGGACUCAUGGGAGACUGCCGGGGUCAACUCGGAGGAAGGUGGGGACGACGUCAAAUCAUCAUGCCCCUUAUGUCUUGGGCUUCACGCAUGCUACAAUGGCCGGUACAAUGGGUUGCGAUACUGUGAGGUGGAGCUAAUCCCAAAAAGCCGGUCUCAGUUCGGAUUGGGGUCUGCAACUCGACCCCAUGAAGUCGGAGUCGCUAGUAAUCGCAGAUCA